Molecule: long non-coding RNA, 1562 nt
Organism: Chenopodium quinoa (quinoa)
Lineage: Eukaryota; Viridiplantae; Streptophyta; Magnoliopsida; Caryophyllales; Amaranthaceae
Exons: 3
Source: RefSeq, a predicted model, not a curated record
UACAUAGAGUAACACUUUCAGGAGUAACACUUUGAUUAUUGGUAGGAGUCAUAGCACUUAUAUGGAACACACACACACCACACACACCACACACACACACACACAUUCUCCUUUCACUUUCUGCUAGCUCUCUCUCUCCUCUUUCUUCACUUUUCCCUCUUUUCUCCAUAUACCUCUGCGAUUCACACUUUCCAUCUUCUUCGAUGGAGAACCUCAAAAACUCUCUGAAAUUUUCACCCCAAUCUUUAGAUCCUUACUCCUCUUAACAUCAUCACUAAAUUUCUUAAUAAGAACUCAACGACCAAACCCUAACCCUAGCUCCAACUCAAUCUAACCAUCAAACCACGAGUAGAAGACAACCCCUACGGCUGACGGUGAUCAAUUCGGCGGCGAAGAAGAUAUGACGAGUAGUACAAAAUGCCGUCUUCAUUCGUUUGAGAUGGUGUUGCUGCUGCCGGAAAUCCUUCCUUCCUUCCGGAAAUACGACGAAUUUUAUCGUUAAAUUGAGAAGCACUAUUACUACUGCUAAUACUACAUGCCUACUACUAUGGGGUUCGAGGAAAGAUGAGAAGAAGUUCUUUAGUAUCAUUUGCUUGUCUUUUGAGAGUAUCUGAAGCACCUCAUUGCUCUUUUUGUCCGUUUAAUGGACAAUUUUUCUUCCAGCCAACUACCAAUCAUUAAGAAUAACUGGCAGGAAGUCUUAGCUUAUUUCCAUGUAUCAGAACUGCAAAAGUAUGACAUGUGCAUAUUGGAAAAUAAUCUAAAGGUUUGCUAUUGUGGAGUGGUGUUAUAUAUAUGUUUGAUGAACCUUCAAGUUAUUUGGAUGUGAAACAAAGGCGAAAAGCUGCCAAAGUUAUCUGAUGAUUGCUAAACCCAAAAAGGUAUAUUUUCAUACUUGAUCUUUCUUGUCUUCUAUUUAUGUAUCAAUUUAUGCUCCGAUUAAUUAAUGAGAGUUUUGAUAAGGGAAGAAUUUAUGCUCUUAUUAAUCAAUUUGUGCUAUUGCAUUCGAUUCUUAUAAUGUUGUUAAUUAACAGAAGUACAUCAGUAGUUAGGGAGGUUAGGUGGUGUUCUCAAAUGUUUUAUAUUGCUAAAAUAUGACAAUUGUCCACAAUAUGUUUUUAUGAUUGCAUUCAUUGCGACUGAAUUUCCUUGUAGCCCUUUUUUUUUUUCUGUUUGGGAGGUUACUAGGAAUGGAAGCAGUUGGAGAGGUGGCAAAAAGGUGGGUGGCAAUGGGUUUAUAUGCACAGAAGCUGAUCCUUCCGACUGACAGAGCUGCUGUUGUUCUGUUUCUGAGUUGAUGUUGUUCUAUUUCCGAGCUGCUGCUGUUGUUGCAUGUUGCUGAUGUUCUGCUUCUGAACUGCUGUUAUGCUUUCGAGCUACUACUAAUUUGCACGUAAUUUUUUUUUUUUUUAUAUGAAAUUGUAAUAUUACAAGUAUUUAUUAAUAAAAAAUAUCUAAGUUUUUAUAUGUAUUAUGGUGUGUUUAUUAAUUAUACUGUUUUUUAGGCAUAAAGGGCACUUGUUCAACCUAGGAAAAAACCGGUGUCCUUUAUUGAUGUUAAG